CCCAGCCCACCCCAACAGUCCUGGUCUCAUGUCAUCUCAGAAACUACACAGAGCCAGUCCUGGUUAGUGCGGGGAUGGGAGAGCGCCCGGGAAUACCAGGUUAUGGCUGGUC
This 112-nucleotide ribosomal RNA is filed under the name Echinops telfairi (small Madagascar hedgehog). Lineage: Eukaryota; Metazoa; Chordata; Mammalia; Afrosoricida; Tenrecidae. The record is from RNAcentral.